AACGAACGCUGGCGGCAUGCCUAACACAUGCAAGUCGAACGAAGUCUUCGGACUUAGUGGCGCACGGGUGCGUAACGCGUGGGAAUCUGCCCUUGGGUUCGGAAUAACAGUUAGAAAUGACUGCUAAUACCGGAUGAUGUCUUCGGACCAAAGAUUUAUCGCCCAGGGAUGAGCCCGCGUAGGAUUAGGUAGUUGGUGGGGUAAUGGCCCACCAAGCCGACGAUCCUUAGCUGGUCUGAGAGGAUGAUCAGCCACACUGGGACUGAGACACGGCCCAGACUCCUACGGGAGGCAGCAGUGGGGAAUAUUGGACAAUGGGCGAAAGCCUGAUCCAGCAAUGCCGCGUGAGUGAUGAAGGCCUUAGGGUUGUAAAGCUCUUUUACCAGGGAUGAUAAUGACAGUACCUGGAGAAUAAGCUCCGGCUAACUCCGUG
RNAcentral lists this ribosomal RNA (433 nucleotides) under uncultured bacterium. RNAcentral describes it as "bacterial SSU rRNA". It matches the Rfam family "Bacterial small subunit ribosomal RNA", at positions 29 to 507 of the family's 1533-position model. RNAcentral also lists the same sequence under 1 other name. The record is from RNAcentral.